AGAUAUAAACAUAAAUUGUUUAUACAUUAAACUUUACACACUAUUCCCAAAAUCGAGUAACCUUAACUUAUACACAAUCAUGACUGUCUAACACAUGACAAUACUAUUCUUCAACAUACUUUACAACUUAACUUCACAUUCUAUCCCAAGCUGAACUUGGCAUCAUCCUUUUCCUGUAACUGGCCGUAUUCGCCUUAUCUGCAAUGUUUUAUCAUGAUAUAGCAAGUGUGAGCAUGAAAGUUGCCCAGCAAGUUUAAA
RNAcentral lists this long non-coding RNA (258 nucleotides) under Panax ginseng (ginseng). RNAcentral's name for it is "long non-coding RNA (PGIN_LNC003021)". The record is from RNAcentral. Lineage: Eukaryota; Viridiplantae; Streptophyta; Magnoliopsida; Apiales; Araliaceae.